This 1564-nucleotide long non-coding RNA is filed under the name Homo sapiens (human). Its description in RNAcentral is "HSALNT0331747". The record is from RNAcentral. Lineage: Eukaryota; Metazoa; Chordata; Mammalia; Primates; Hominidae.
UUGCAUUUCGCCACCUCCAUCCCUGUGCUCCUCACCCUGUAAGGGCAGGAGAAAGCUCCCUGGCAGUGGCCCAGCCUCGGCAGCCAGCAGUUGCCAGAUACAGUGGUGCUAAUUGUCCUUGAACUGGGAACAAAUACGCAUUCACAGCGUCGUAAAUUAUUGCCAGCAGUCUCCCAAUGCCCCUACACCUGUUUCAGAUCUGUCACACAAGGCCAUCGUAUUUUUCCUUUUAAAGAGGCAGAUUAUUUGCUGAUCACGUAACUGGAGACGUCCAGUGCAGGACUCUGCAAGAACCCUCUGUAAUUCGGUGACACCCACUCCUCAGGGCAGAGCAAAGGGUGACACUGCUUGAGAAGUGCUGGUGCUAGAUCAGGGCAGGGAAGGAACAUAUAAGCCAAGCAACAUCCACAGCUGCUCCCAAAGAAUGGACUUCACACUCAGAAGAAAAGACGUCUGGGUUGUAGGUAGCGUGUGCCUUCUCUCGUCUUCAGUUCUCUGGUGCUUGAUCCGGUUCGUGAUGACCCGGGGAGGCCACUGGCAGACUCCUGCUCUUGAGGACGUGCAGCUUUCAUGCAGCUGUUGAGAAGUCCAAACAAGUUCAGAAUCCUGAUCUUUUGUGUGUGGCCUAUAUUUUCUCUCUCUAGCAACUUGGGAAACCUUCUAUUUGUCCUUGUAUUGGGAAAAGUUUCUGCCAGAACCAAGAACCACUGUCCAGUCUUGCUCUGUCACCCAGGCUGGAGUGCGGUGGUGUGAUCUUGGCUCACUGCAACCUCUGCCCCCCAAGUUCAAGCGAUUCUCCUGCCUUGGCCUCCCGAGUAGCUGGGACUACAGAUGGAAUCUUGCUGUGUCUCCAGGCUGGAGUGUAGUGGCGCGAUCUCGGCUCACUGCAACCUCUGCCUCCCGGGUUCAAGCAAUUCUCCUGCCUCAGCCUCCCGAGUAGCUGGGACUACAGGUGCCAGCCAUCACGCCCGGCUAAUUUUUUGUAUUUUUAGUAGAGAUGGGGUUUCACCAUGUUGGCCAGGAUGGUCUCGAUCUCCUGACCUCGUGAUCUACCCGCCUCAGCCUCCCAAAGUGCUGGGAUUAUAGGCGUGAGCCACCGCGCCCAGCCUAGUCUCUGCUUUUUUAAAAAAAAUGUUAGGACAGUGGUCCCUAAACUUGUCUGUGUAUUAGAAUCACCUGGGAAAUCUUUAAAAAUUCUAAGGACCAGGUAAAUUAAAUUAUAAUCUCUGGGAAUAGGACUGAUUUUUGUAUUUUUAGUAGAGACGGGGUUUUGCCAUGUUCACCAGGCUGGUCUCGAACUCCUGACCUCAGGUGAUCCACCCGCCUCAGCCUCCCAAAGUGUUGGGAUUACAGGUGUGAGCCACCACAUCCAGCCCAGACUAAUUUUUCUGAUGACAAAUGCUGCUUGUUGAUGUGAAUUCUGAUAUGGCACACACUUGAGCCUCACUUUGUUAGCUAUUAAUUUGUGUUACUGAAUUUACAGGCCUGGAAUACAAUUUGUGCUUCUUUUUAAAUAAAUUUCAUACUUUUUUUUUAAUGGACUUGUAAUCUACCUGAACUUGAA